Molecule: RNA transcript, 1424 nt
Organism: Frankliniella occidentalis (western flower thrips)
Lineage: Eukaryota; Metazoa; Arthropoda; Insecta; Thysanoptera; Thripidae
Exons: 9
Source: RefSeq, a predicted model, not a curated record
UCAGGUACGGCACGGAAGUCUGCUCGCCAACGCCAUACACAUUUCAUUGCGGGGGAGUCGCAACGUACGCAGGAGCGCUUCCACGGGGGGAUGGUGCCAACAGCAGGCCAGUCUACAUACAACUGCAAGACCUCAAAUUGAACAUGCUGGAAUCCGGCCAACCCUCAAGAGUCGAUAGUUGGCCGCUAGACGAGGGGCCCCUGUCCAGCCACCUGCGGUGGUGGUUAAAGACCCUCUCGCCCACCGGCCGCGAUAAGUUCAGCGCGCGCCUCCUCUUCUGGCUACGGACCUCCAAGAUUGCAAUGACGACAAGCGUGGUAACGCUCCUAGUAGGCAUAAGUGAUGUGGCCGUGUCCCGCUCCAUGCACGAGGCGAGCGUGCCGGUCACGCUCAGCCUCGGUGUGUACUCCAGCGUGUUUGCACAUGUGCUCUUCGUGAAGCGGCUGCCUGCCCUCCUUCAGACGGUGGCCCUCCUUCUCGCCACAACGGCCGGCGUGGAGCGGCACCUUGACUCGGCAUCCCAGAAACGGAUGCGGCGGACCGCAAGAAGGGGCAGCUUAUUCUGUCGCCAGCUAGUGCUGUUCAGUGUGUGCCUCAUGCUGCAGUUCCCAGCUGUGUACGCGCUUACCAACGACCCGCAGUGGUCCCUCCGCUGGAUUUACCGGCUGCACGCCGACAGCACGGACAACUCGCUCUACUGGUUGCACUGGGCUGCUUUCAUGGAGCAGGCGUUUGGGCUCGUGUGCAGUUUCACGGCUUUCUACACCAUGCUGCCACUCGUCAUAGUCAUCUACUCGACCUGUGCUGACCUGCACGCGGCUCUUGCUCACCGUAUGCAGACAGCUGCCUGCUGCCCCCACGAUGCGGCACUCCAAAGCGGGGUGCUUCGAGCAUGCAUCGUGGCGGACAGUGCGCUGGCCGACCUUAUGCCCCACCUUCUGGUUGUCAGCAUCAUCAUGCCGCUCUUCAGCACGGCUGAGCUCAUAGCUUCCGGGCUUAAGUUGGGCGCUUACUCCUUGGGCACGGCCGCCCCCAUCCUGAUCGUGUUCGUGCCGCUGUGUGAGGUCGGCGAUCGCCUGAGUCGGGCAAGGCGCGGCGUGGCGGAGAGCGCGGCUGAGGGUCCCUGGGUGGAGGAGAGGCCCAAGCAGCGCCAGCUGCGGCUGGCCGUGAUGCAGAUGGUGGCGUUUCUUUUGUGAAAACAGGCUGCCAUGGGAGAAGGCGCAUUUCUUCGAGGGAGUGGAAUUGGACCUCUGGACCGAGCUACUUGCGGUAACGCUCUUAGGUCAUGGUUUAGCUUUCUCCAGGUUAUACUCAACGUACAACGGAAAGCAGGUGUCCACUAACAACAGUUGGCUUGCGCGACGCUGAACUCCGACAGAAACAAGAAAGAAAAGACCAAAUAAAGUUUCUAGCUAUCGCAGCAA